AUGGGAGAGUCUUCACAUAGUUGCAUAAUUAUUCGACUACUCAUUGAUCUUCACUUAUAUCUUAUUGGAGUAGUUUGUCGUUUGCUCAUAGUGCUUCACUUAUAUCUUUUGAGCGUGAUAAUUUUUGCUCUAGUACUUCACUUAUAUAUUUUGAGAGCACGGUGGUGGAUUUGUUUUAAAGAAACUAUUGAACUCUCAUGCUUCGCUUAUAUUAUUUUGAGAGUCGUUAAUAGCAUGGUAAUUUGGUUAAUGUUAAUAUACUUGGUAUAUUCAAGAUAUGUGAAACUUUCUUUUGAGUGCGUUGAAUACUAA
This 312-nucleotide ribosomal RNA is filed under the name Triticum aestivum (bread wheat). RNAcentral's name for it is "partial small subunit ribosomal RNA". The record is from RNAcentral. Lineage: Eukaryota; Viridiplantae; Streptophyta; Magnoliopsida; Poales; Poaceae.